AACUUCCCACCUCCGCCCUCUUGGAAGAACGCGAGAGCUCGUGUGUUGGCCCUGCGUGGACGCAUACGAUAUCCAGUCCCACGAACAUAGGCACGCACUCACACAAGCGCAGGGACGUGUGCACCAGGUGCUCACACACACCGUCUCAUAAGCGGCAAGACGACACGACCUGAAGGCACGGAAGCCGUGGAAUCAACAGCGCCACAAGCUGUUUCUCCUGUUCUUUCUUCCCUUUUUUCAGCUCACUAUGGCGACCUACGUCCCAGGUGAUCGCGUAUGGGUGUACAUAGAAGGGGACGGCUGGUGGCCGGCGCGCGUGCUCAGCGACGAGGAAAUGGGCACCCGCACCCCCGGCUUUGACCUGGCGGUGCAGUUCUACGCUGGCGUGGAGCAGCCGGCGACUCUGUACGAGCUGAACAGCCACGCCGACGCCGCAAACAUCUGCUUCUUCGAAACGUCGUCGGAGAAGGCGGUGACGGGCAACCCUGAGCUAGAGGCAUCGAUCCGCUGCGCUUGUGCCGAUGCGGAGGCCAACCCGCUGAAGUCGGCUUCUGCCAUAGUGGGAGGCGCCAGGGUGGCAGCCGGCGGCUCGGGUGCCGCUGGGAGCGCGGGUGCCGCGGCCGUCAACCGUGCCGCGGUGAAGCGCGUCCGCGACAUGGGCGACGAUGACACGGGCACCUACGGCGGUGGCGCUGCCGCCUCGCGCUCUGCUUCUGGGUACCACCACCUGCGCAGCGACGAACUUCACGAAUUGUCGAGCAAGAUUUCGUCAGCUGUGGCAGCGGCAGACUUGACGGCGGUGCGCGCGGCCCUCUGCCAGCUAGACGGCGUGGACGUGUACCUGACGGAGCUGGAGGACACGAAGAUCGGUGUUGCCGUCGGGUCAGUACUGAGCCAGCCGGCACUGAAACCGCUGUGGCCCCUUGCCCGCGCCAUGAUCUCGUUCUGGGCACGCCACCUGCCUGCCGAGACUCUCGCAGCCAUCCGUAGCGUGCAGCAACGCCAGCUGCCUGUACCGGCUAUCAGUGCAGCGGCGGCAGCAGAGCCCUCUAGCCCGCACAACAAGCGGCAGCAGCCGCUUCCAGCUGUUCCUAGCCGGAGCCCCUUUGCGAGCAGCGUGUCCCCAUCCGCGGCAACCGCAGCAGGUGGAGCUGUAGGAGGAGCAGCGGCCGGCGCGUGCUCUGGUGAUGUGGCUCCGACACAGCGCAAGACGUUCUACGACAACGUCUACCAGCUCCUUGACAGUCCCUUGAGCACGACACGCUACGACGACACCGUCAUUGACGAGGUGGCCCGAAAGUUGGCGACUGAAAUCACUGACCGCGAUGAGCGCCAGAUGCUGCUGCUUCGGCUUCGCGAGGAGGAGCUUUCUUUCAUUCGCGAUCACCUCCUCUCUGGCGAGUGGACGCCAAAGAAGUACCUGGAUCAGCCGAACGAGGUGUUUACGACCAAGAGCGAGAAGGCCCGGCAGGAGCAGCGCAUCCAGGAAAAAAUGAAGGCGAUCGAGGCUGCCGACAAUGCCAUGCUAAACAUCACCUCUCUCUUCAAGUGUGGGCGCUGCGGCAAGCGCCAUUGCACCUUCUACGAGCAGCAGACGCGCAGCGCGGAUGAACCGACGACGAAGUACAUUACUUGUCUAGACUGCAAGAACACCUGGACGCAGGAGUAGACACGCAGAUAUCUGUGCAGUUGCGAAGCAUAUCCGCUGUGCGGGGUCUGCCACCCUCUCUCCCUCUCCUGCGCACGCUUCUCUUUCUGCCGUCGAGGCGGAGAGACGGAAGGGGGGGGGGUACGAAUAGGAGAUGGCGGUGCGAAGACAGAGGUGCUGGAAAGGACAACACACGCUCGGGAACACCUGGAUGCCUGUGUGUGUGUGUGUAUGUAGCUCUCUCUCUUUACCGUACGUAAUGCCUCGGAAUAAGGCGUACGCCGUAGGCAAUGAUGGCGUUGUCGGAGGGGGUUCACAGCUGCUGCUGUCCUUGCUAUGUUUCCCGGCGCGUGAGCGUAAGCGUUUACAUCAAAAACGACUCGGGCGCAGUGAAGGGGGUGGGGAGACUCAGCACUGUGUGUGUGUGUGUUUGGGGAGUAGGGGACGGUAAGGGCUGUGGUUUCGAGUGCCUCUCUCUCUCCCUGCGUCGUAUUGGUGGCCAGUGAUUGGCAGUGGUGGUGGGCUGGGUAGGAAAACUUGCCGAUGUUUCACGGUGCUCCUCACUACGUUCGUGUAGACGUUGACGGGCAUAUCUCCCUGCAGGGUGGAUACGGCGAUCACGUUAGGAGUGCUGAGCGAGAGUCGGCAACUUCGUUUGAGGAUUGCUUGUUGUCUCUUAAUGUUGUGUGGCUUGACGAAAGAGAGGGAGGGAGACAAAGAGCGAUGGUGAGUGCAGAUGGCGCAUCAUUUGUGAGUCCUCAGUGAUAACUUCCUCUUUUGUUGCUUUUCUAUUUCUUUUUUGGCUGUCCCCUUAUCCUAUAGGUCGAUUUUAAGCUCUGCAGCCACCGUGAGAUGAGCCGGCACACACGUUGCACACAAGCAUGCAGGCGAGUAGAAAGAAAUGGAGCUAGGAGAAUCAACGCUGCGAUGUGAGUCAUUCAUGCCUCUUCUUCUGUCUUUGUGUGUGUGUGUGUCUGUGUGUGCAGAAUAUGCCCUGGGACUAUCAACAUAAUAGGUGCCCGCCCGUUCCCUUCUUCUCCCUCUCCCACUC
This 2699-nucleotide unclassified non-coding RNA is filed under the name Leishmania donovani. RNAcentral's name for it is "gene:LdHU3.33.4100(CDS-product:misc_RNAion_elonga tion_factor-like_protein)". Lineage: Eukaryota; Euglenozoa; Kinetoplastea; Trypanosomatida; Trypanosomatidae. The record is from RNAcentral.